AGAGUUUGAUCCUGGCUCAGAUUGAACGCUGGCGGCAUGCCUUACACAUGCAAGUCGAACGGCAGCGCGGACUUCGGUCUGGCGGCGAGUGGCGAACGGGUGAGUAAUACAUCGGAACGUACCCUGUUGUGGGGGAUAACUAGUCGAAAGAUUAGCUAAUACCGCAUACGACCUGAGGGUGAAAGUGGGGGACCGCAAGGCCUCACGCAGCAGGAGCGGCCGAUGUCUGAUUAGCUAGUUGGUGGGGUAAAGGCCCACCAAGGCGACGAUCAGUAGCUGGUCUGAGAGGACGAUCAGCCACACUGGGACCGAGACACGGCCCAGACUCCUACGGGAGGCAGCAGUGGGGAAUUUUGGACAAUGGGGGCAACCCUGAUCCAGCAAUGCCGCGUGUGUGAAGAAGGCCUUCGGGUUGUAAAGCACUUUUGUCCGGAAAGAAAUCGCUCUGGUUAAUACCUGGGGUGGAUGACGGUACCGGAAGAAUAAGCACCGGCUAACUACGUGCCAGCAGCCGCGGUAAUACGUAGGGUGCGAGCGUUAAUCGGAAUUACUGGGCGUAAAGCGUGCGCA
Molecule: ribosomal RNA, 570 nt
Filed under: uncultured bacterium
Lineage: Bacteria
Description: bacterial SSU rRNA
Rfam family: Bacterial small subunit ribosomal RNA
Source: RNAcentral